This 600-nucleotide ribosomal RNA is filed under the name uncultured bacterium. RNAcentral describes it as "bacterial SSU rRNA". It matches the Rfam family "Bacterial small subunit ribosomal RNA", at positions 83 to 679 of the family's 1533-position model. The record is from RNAcentral.
CUCCCGGAUUUAGCGGCGGACGGGUGAGUAAUGCCUAGGAAUCUGCCUGGUAGUGGGGGACAACGACUCGAAAGGGUCGCUAAUACCGCAUACGUCCUACGGGAGAAAGUGGGGGAUCUUCGGACCUCACGCUAUCAGAUGAGCCUAGGUCGGAUUAGCUUGUAGGUGAGGUAAUGGCUCACCUAGGCAACGAUCCGUAACUGGUCUGAGAGGAUGAUCAGUCACACUGGAACUGAGACACGGUCCAGACUCCUACGGGAGGCAGCAGUGGGGAAUAUUGGACAAUGGGCGAAAGCCUGAUCCAGCCAUGCCGCGUGUGUGAAGAAGGUCUUCGGAUUGUAAAGCACUUUAAGUUGGGAGGAAGGGUUGUAGUUUAAUACGCUGCAAUCUUGACGUUACCAACAGAAUAAGCACCGGCUAACUCUGUGCCAGCAGCCGCGGUAAUACAGAGGGUGCAAGCGUUAAUCGGAAUUACUGGGCGUAAAGCGCGCGUAGGCGGCUUGAUAAGAUGGGUGUGAAAUCCCCGGGCUUAACCUGGGAACUGCAUCCAUAACUGUCUGGCUAGAGUACAGUAGAGGGUGGUGGAAUUUCCUGUGUAGC